GACACGACUCUCGGCAAUGGAUAUCUCGGCUCUCGCAUCGAUGAAGAGCGCAGCGAAAUGUGAUACGUGGUGCGAAUUGCAGAAUCCCGCGAAC
Molecule: ribosomal RNA, 94 nt
Filed under: Sievekingia herrenhusana
Lineage: Eukaryota; Viridiplantae; Streptophyta; Magnoliopsida; Asparagales; Orchidaceae
Also listed under: 5 other names
Description: 5.8S ribosomal RNA
Rfam family: 5.8S ribosomal RNA
About the family: 5.8S ribosomal RNA (5.8S rRNA) is a component of the large subunit of the eukaryotic ribosome.
Source: RNAcentral